RNAcentral lists this ribosomal RNA (253 nucleotides) under uncultured bacterium. Its description in RNAcentral is "partial 16S ribosomal RNA". It matches the Rfam family "Bacterial small subunit ribosomal RNA", at positions 524 to 776 of the family's 1533-position model. The record is from RNAcentral.
UACGUAGGGACCGAGCGUUGUCCGGAAUCAUUGGGCGUAAAGAGCGUGUAGGCGGCCUUUUAAGUCCUGCGUGAAAUCCUGCGGCUCAACCGCAGACGGUCGUGGGAAACUGGAAGGCUAGAGUGCGGGAGAGGAGAGUGGAAUUCCCGGUGUAGCGGUGAAAUGCGCAGAUAUCGGGAAGAACACCCGUGGCGAAGGCGGCUCUCUGGAACGCAACUGACGCUGAGACGCGAAGGCGUGGGGAGCGAACGGG